AGCCAAUGGGAUAUGGAGCGGCUAAUUAGAAAGGCAGAAUCGGUUCAAAGCGGUCGGCAAAUACAUAAACUAUUUUUGUGUAGAAAUAGCUCUCAAAGCACCUAAAAUGAAUU
Molecule: small RNA, 113 nt
Filed under: Drosophila erecta
Lineage: Eukaryota; Metazoa; Arthropoda; Insecta; Diptera; Drosophilidae
Description: GG26500
Source: RNAcentral